RNAcentral lists this ribosomal RNA (122 nucleotides) under Pteropus alecto (black flying fox). The record is from RNAcentral. Lineage: Eukaryota; Metazoa; Chordata; Mammalia; Chiroptera; Pteropodidae.
GUCUACAGCAUGCCACCCUGAACACGCCUGAUCCUGUCUGAUCUCGGAAGCUAAGCAGGGUCAAGCCUGGUUAGUACAUGGAUGGGAGACCGACCACCUAGGAAGACCAAGUGCUGUAGGCG